Molecule: ribosomal RNA, 862 nt
Filed under: uncultured Methanosarcinaceae archaeon
Lineage: Archaea; Methanobacteriati; Methanobacteriota; Methanomicrobia; Methanosarcinales; Methanosarcinaceae
Description: bacterial SSU rRNA
Rfam family: Archaeal small subunit ribosomal RNA
Source: RNAcentral
ACGGCACACAGCUCAGUAACACGUGGCUAAUCUGCCCUUGGGACUAGAACAACCCCGGGAAACUGGGGCUAACUCUAGAUAGGUGAAGAACUCUGGAAUGAGUCUUUGCCUAAAUAGGUUCACGUUAUCCUCGUGAACUUGCCCAAGGAUGAGGCCGCGACCGAUCAGGUUGUUGGCGAGGUAAUGGCUCACCAAGCCUUUUACCGGUGCGGGCCGUGGGAGCGGGAGCCCGGAGAUGGGUACUGAGACAAGGACCCAGGCCCUACGGGGCGCAGCAGUCGCGAAACCUUUGCAAUACACGAAAGUGUGACAGGGCUAUCCCGAGUGCCAUCCGCUGAGGAAGGCUUUUACCCAGUCUAGAACGCUGGGGGAAUAAGGAGAGGGCAAGUCUGGUGUCAGCCGCCGCGGUAAUACCAGCUCUCCGAGUGGUGUGGAUGUUUAUUGGGCCUAAAGCAUCCGUAGCUGGCUAGGUAAGUCCCUUGUUAAAUCCACCGAAUUAAUCGUUGGAUCGCGGGGGAUACUGCUUGGCUAGGGGACGAGAGAGGCAGACGGUAUUUUCGGGGUAGGGGUGAAAUCCUAUAAUCCCGGGAAGACCACCAGUGGCGAAGGCUGUCUGCUAGAACGCGCCCGACGGUGAGGGAUGAAAGCUGGGGGAGCGAACCGGAUUAGAUACCCGGGUAGUCCCAGCUGUAGACGAUGCAGACUAGAUGUUUGGACGGCCACGUGCCGUUCUAGUGCCGCAGGGAAGCUGUUAAGUCUGCCGCCUGGGGAGUACGAUCGCAAGAUUGAAACUUAAAGGAAUUGGCGGGGGAGCACCACAAGGGGUGAAACUUGCGGUUUAAUUGGAGUCAACGCCGGAAAU